UACGAAGGGGGCUAGCGUUGCUCGGAAUUACUGGGCGUAAAGCGCGCGCAGGUGGUCUGUUAAGUUGGGGGUGAAAGCCCGGAGCUCAACUCCGUAAUUGCCUUCAAAACUGGCAGGCUAGAGUUCGGAAGAGGAGAGUGGAAUUCCCAGUGUAGAGGUGAAAUUCGUAGAUAUUGGGAAGAACACCAGUGGCGAAGGCGGCUCUCUGGUCCGACACUGACACUGAGGCGCGAAAGCGUGGGGAGCAAACAGG
Molecule: ribosomal RNA, 253 nt
Filed under: uncultured bacterium
Lineage: Bacteria
Description: partial 16S ribosomal RNA
Rfam family: Bacterial small subunit ribosomal RNA
Source: RNAcentral